GACGUAGGGCGCGAGCGUUGUUCGGAUUUACUGGGCGUAAAGGGCGCGUAGGCGGCCACCGCAAGUCAAUUGUGAAAUCUCCGGGCUUAACUCGGAAAGGUCAACUGAUACUGCGGGGCUAGAGUGCGGAAGGGGCAACUGGAAUUCUCGGUGUAGCGGUGAAAUGCGUAGAUAUCGAGAGGAACACCUGCGGCGAAGGCGGGUUGCUGGGCCGACACUGACGCUGAGGCGCGAAAGCCAGGGGAGCGAACGGG
This 254-nucleotide ribosomal RNA is filed under the name uncultured bacterium. Its description in RNAcentral is "partial 16S ribosomal RNA". It matches the Rfam family "Bacterial small subunit ribosomal RNA", at positions 524 to 776 of the family's 1533-position model. The record is from RNAcentral.